This 1537-nucleotide ribosomal RNA is filed under the name metagenome. RNAcentral describes it as "bacterial SSU rRNA". It matches the Rfam family "Bacterial small subunit ribosomal RNA". The record is from RNAcentral.
AGAGUUUGAUUCUGGCUCAGAACGAACGCUGGCAGCGUGGAUUAGGCAUGCAAGUCGAACGAGAAUCCGUGGUUUCAAUCUUCGGAGAGAAAUCACGGUGGACAGUGGCGGAAGGGUGAGUAACGCGUGGGUAACCUGCCCCUAAGUUGGGGACAACCCCGGGAAACCGGAGCUAAUACCGAAUGUGGUCCUCUGUCGCAUGGCAGGGUGACUAAAGGUGGGGAUUCUUCGGAACCUGCCGCUUGGGGAGGGGCCCGCGUCCCAUCAGUUUGUUGGUAGGGUAACGGCCUACCAAGGCUUACGGGUAGCUGGUCUGAGAGGACAGUCAGCCACACUGGGACUGAGACACUGCCCAGACUCCUACGGGAGGCUGCAGUCGAGGAUCAUUCGCAAUGCGCGAAAGCGUGACGAUGCGACGCUGCGUGGAGGAUGACGGCCUUCGGGUUGUAAACUCCUGUCAUGAGGGGCAAGCCGGCGGAGGGAUAAUACCCCUACGCCCCGAUGGUACCUCAAGAGGAAGCCACGGCUAACUCUGUGCCAGCAGCCGCGGUAAUACAGAGGUGGCGAGCGUUGUUCGGAUUUACUGGGCGUAAAGAGUGCGUAGGUGGUUCCGUAUGUCGGGUGUGAAAUCCCACGGCUCAACCGUGGAACUGCAACCGAAACUGCGGGGCUAGAGUGCAGGAGGGGAGAGCGGAAUUCUUGGUGUAGCGGUGAAAUGCGUUGAUAUCAAGAAGAACACCGGUGGCGAAGGCGGCUCUCUGGAAUGCUACUGACGCUGAGGCACGAAAGCUGGGGGAGCGAACAGGAUUAGAUACCCUGGUAGUCCCAGCCGUAAACGGUGUGCACUUGGUGUGGGGGGAUUUGACCCCCUCCGUGCCGGAGCUAACGCGUUAAGUGCACCGCCUGGGGAGUACGGUCGCAAGAUUAAAACUCAAAGAAAUUGACGGGGGCCCGCACAAGCGGAGGAGCAUGUGGCUUAAUUCGAUGCAACGCGAAGAACCUUACCAGGGCUUGACAUGUAGCUGCACGCCCGCCGAAAGGUGGGAAGCCUUCGAGGGUGCUACACAGGUGCUGCAUGGCUGUCGUCAGUUCGUGCCGUGAGGUGUUGGGUUAAGUCCCGCAACGAACGCAACCCUUGUGUUUAGUUGCCACCGCAGGUGAUGAGCCUGCGAGCACUCUAAACAGACUGCCCGUACAAGCGGGAGGAAGGUGGGGACGACGUCAAGUCAGUAUGGCCCUUACGCCCUGGGCUGCACACGUGCUACAAUGGCCGGUACAGAAGGAUGCAAGACCGCGAGGUGGAGCAAAUCCUGAAAGCUGGCCCCAGUUCGGAUUGGAGUCUGCAACUCGACUCCAUGAAGUCGGAUUCGCUAGUAACGGCGCAUCAGCUACGGCGCCGUGAAUACGUUCCCGGGCCUUGUACACACCGCCCGUCACUUCAUGAAAGCCGUCUGCACCCGAAGUCGCUGAGCUAACCCGCAAGGGAGGCAGGUGCCGAAGGUGUGGGUGGUGAUUGGGAUGAAGUCGUAACAAGGUA